Molecule: non-coding RNA, 78 nt
Filed under: unclassified sequences
Source: RNAcentral
GGUACUGGUAAAUAAUAACCAGUCCUUCUUAAUGCAGCCAACGGAGGUCACAAGCCCUCGGAUAAUGCAGAGUGAGGA